This 490-nucleotide ribosomal RNA is filed under the name uncultured bacterium. RNAcentral's name for it is "bacterial SSU rRNA". It matches the Rfam family "Bacterial small subunit ribosomal RNA", at positions 1 to 507 of the family's 1533-position model. The record is from RNAcentral.
UACGAGUUUGAUCAUGGCUCAGGAUGAACGCUAGCGGCAGGCUUAAUACAUGCAAGUCAAGGGGGUAGCAAUACAACCGGCGCACGGGUGAGUAACGCGUACACAACAUACCAUAUACUAAGGUAUAGCUUCGGGAAACUGGAGAUAAUCCCCCAUAACAUUGCGAGAGGGCAUCUGAUUGCAAUUAAAGUUUCGACGGUAUAUGAUUGGUGUGCGUUUGAUUAGCUUGUUGGUAGGGUAACGGCCUACCAAGGCGACGAUCAAUAGCUGGCGUGAGAGCGCGACCAGCCACACUGGAACUGAGACACGGUCCAGACUCCUACGGGAGGCAGCAGUAGGGAAUAUUGGACAAUGGGCGAAAGCCUGAUCCAGCCAUGCCGCGUGAUAGAUGAAGGCCCUCUGGGUUGUAAAUAUCUUUUAUCUGGGAAGAAACUCCUCUAUUCUUAGAGGCCUGACGGUACCAGAGGAAUAAGCACCGGCUAACUCCGUG